This 253-nucleotide ribosomal RNA is filed under the name uncultured bacterium. Its description in RNAcentral is "partial 16S ribosomal RNA". It matches the Rfam family "Bacterial small subunit ribosomal RNA", at positions 524 to 776 of the family's 1533-position model. The record is from RNAcentral.
GACGAAGGAUGCAAGCGUUAUCCGGAUUCAUUGGGUUUAAAGGGAGCGUAGGUGGCCUUAUAAGUCAGUGGUGAAAUCUCGAGGCUUAACCUCGAAAUUGCCAUUGAUACUGUAGGGCUUGAGUAUAGUUGCCGUCGGCGGAAUAUGACAUGUAGUGGUGAAAUACAUAGAGAUGUCAUAGAACACCGAUUGCGAAGGCAGCUGACGAAACUAUAACUGACACUGAGGCUCGAAAGUGCGGGGAUCAAACAGG